This 391-nucleotide long non-coding RNA is filed under the name Nicotiana benthamiana. Its description in RNAcentral is "long non-coding RNA (NBEN_LNC012682)". Lineage: Eukaryota; Viridiplantae; Streptophyta; Magnoliopsida; Solanales; Solanaceae. The record is from RNAcentral.
AAAAAUCAGAAGAUAUAGUGAUUUCAAAAGAGGUUUAGAAACCCUAGUUUUAAAAAGAAGAACAAAACAUUGAAAUUCAGCAAUCGUAAAGAUCGAGUAAAGAGUAGUGUAAAACAUAAUAAAGUAAGUUAAAAAUUCGUUAAAAAGACCGGGAUUUAAGAGGUGUAGUUAGAAAUUAGGGUAUCACGAGAAACCAGUGAGAGGUAAGAAACCUUGCUGUGAAACUUCAUUAAUAAUGACGUUUGUAAAACGAUCGGACCAAAACCCAUCAGAGAAAGGUCGGAGACAAACCAGACAAAGCUUCUGGUGACCAUCUUGUAUGGUGGGGCUUUUGGGGUCUCGCAGAUAGAGGGAAUAAACAAAACAAGGUUUCACGACGGCUGGUGGUCGA